CCUACGGGGGGCAGCAGUGAGGAAUAUUGGUCAAUGGACGAGAGUCUGAACCAGCCAAGUAGCGUGAAGGAUGACUGCCCUAUGGGUUGUAAACUUCUUUUAUAUGGGAAUAAAACGUUCCACGUGUGGGAUUUUGUAUGUACCAUAUGAAUAAGGAUCGGCUAACUCAGUGCCAGCAGCCGCGGUAAUACGGAGGAUCCGAGCGUUAUCCGGAUUUAUUGGGUUUAAAGGGAGCGUAGGUGGAUUGUUAAGUCAGUUGUGAAAGUUUGCGGCUCAACCGUAAAAUUGCAGUUGAAACUGGCAGUCUUGAGUACAGUAGAGGUGGGCGGAAUUCGUGGUGUAGCGGUGAAAUGCUUAGAUAUCACGAAGAACUCCGAUUGCGAAGGCAGUUCACUGGACUGCAACUGACACUGAGGCUCGAAAGUGUGGGUAUCAAACAGGAUUAGAUACCCUUGUAGUC
RNAcentral lists this ribosomal RNA (460 nucleotides) under uncultured bacterium. Its description in RNAcentral is "partial 16S ribosomal RNA". It matches the Rfam family "Bacterial small subunit ribosomal RNA", at positions 338 to 795 of the family's 1533-position model. The record is from RNAcentral.